This 510-nucleotide ribosomal RNA is filed under the name uncultured bacterium. Its description in RNAcentral is "partial 16S ribosomal RNA". It matches the Rfam family "Bacterial small subunit ribosomal RNA", at positions 355 to 858 of the family's 1533-position model. The record is from RNAcentral.
UGGGGAAUUUUGGACAAUGGGGGCAACCCUGAUCCAGCCAUCCCGCGUGUGCGAUGAAGGCCUUCGGGUUGUAAAGCACUUUUGGCAGGGAAGAAACAGCCUGGGAUAAUACCCCGGGCGACUGACGGUACCUGCAGAAUAAGCACCGGCUAACUACGUGCCAGCAGCCGCGGUAAUACGUAGGGUGCAAGCGUUAAUCGGAAUUACUGGGCGUAAAGCGUGCGCAGGCGGUUCGGAAAGAAAGGUGUGAAAUCCCAGGGCUUAACCUUGGAACUGCACUUUUAACUACCGAGCUAGAGUACGUCAGAGGGGGGUAGAAUUCCACGUGUAGCAGUGAAAUGCGUAGAGAUGUGGAGGAAUACCGAUGGCGAAGGCAGCCCCCUGGGCCAAUACUGACGCUCAUGCACGAAAGCGUGGGGAGCAAACAGGAUUAGAUACCCUGGUAGUCCACGCCCUAAACGAUGUCAACUAGUUGUUGGGGAUUCAUUUCCUUAGUAACGUAGCUAACGC